This 520-nucleotide unclassified non-coding RNA is filed under the name uncultured Glomus. RNAcentral describes it as "SSU rRNA". It matches the Rfam family "Eukaryotic small subunit ribosomal RNA", at positions 569 to 1090 of the family's 1831-position model. The record is from RNAcentral. Lineage: Eukaryota; Fungi; Glomeromycota; Glomeromycetes; Glomerales; Glomeraceae.
AGCAGCCGCGGUAAUUCCAGCUCCAAUAGCGUAUAUUAAAGUUGCUGCAGUUAAAAAGCUCGUAGUUGAAUUUCGGGACCAUCAUGUCGGUCGUGCCUCGGUACGUACUGGCAUUGUUGGUUUCUACCUUCUGACGAACCAUGAUGUCAUUUAUUUGGUGUCGUGGGAAAUCAGGACUGUUACUUUGAAAAAAUUAGAGUGUUUAAAGCAGGCUCACGCUUGAAUACAUUAGCAUGGAAUAAUGAAAUAGGACGUUUGAUUCUAUUUUGUUGGUUUCUAGGAUCGACGUAAUGAUUAAUAGGGAUAGUUGGGGGCGAUUAGUAUUCAAUUGUCAGAGGUGAAAUUCUUGGAUUUAUUGAAGACUAACUACUGCGAAAGCAUUUGCCAAGGAUGUUUUCAUUAAUCAAGAACGAAAGUUAGGGGAUCGAAGACGAUCAGAUACCGUCGUAGUCUUAACCAUAAACUAUGCCGACUAGGGAUCGGAUGAUGUUAAUUUUUUAAUGACUCAUUCGGCGCCUUA